This 465-nucleotide ribosomal RNA is filed under the name uncultured bacterium. RNAcentral's name for it is "partial 16S ribosomal RNA". It matches the Rfam family "Bacterial small subunit ribosomal RNA", at positions 338 to 795 of the family's 1533-position model. The record is from RNAcentral.
CCUACGGGAGGCAGCAGUAGGGAAUCUUCCACAAUGGGCGCAAGCCUGAUGGAGCAACACCGCGUGAGUGAAGACGGGUUUCGGCGCGUAAAGCUCUGUUGUUGGAGAAGUAAGUGCGUGAGAGUAACUGUUCACGCAGUGACGGUAUCCAACCAGAAAGUCACGGCUAACUCCGUGCCAGCAGCCGCGGUAAUACGUCGGUGGCAAGCGUUAUCUGGAUUUAUUUGGCGUAAGGCGAGCGCAGGCGGUUGCUUAGGUCUGAUGUGAAAGCCUUCGGCUUAACCGAAGAAGUGCAUCGGAAACCGGGCGACUUGAGUGCAGAAGAGGACGGUGGAACUCGAGGUGUAGCGGUGGAAUGCGUAGAUAUAUGGAAGAACACCAGUGGCGAAGGCAGCUGACUGGUCUGCAACUGACGCUGAGGCUCGAAAGCAUGGGUAGCGAACAGGAUUAGAUACCCGAGUAGUC